ACGGAGGGGACUAGCGUUGUUCGGAAUUACUGGGCGUAAAGCGCGCGUAGGCGGAUUGGAAAGUUGGGGGUGAAAUCCCAGGGCUCAACCCUGGAACUGCCUCCAAAACUAUCAGUCUAGAGUUCGAGAGAGGUGAGUGGAAUUCCGAGUGUAGAGGUGAAAUUCGUAGAUAUUCGGAGGAACACCAGUGGCGAAGGCGGCUCACUGGCUCGAUACUGACGCUGAGGUGCGAAAGUGUGGGGAGCAAACAGG
Molecule: ribosomal RNA, 252 nt
Filed under: uncultured bacterium
Lineage: Bacteria
Description: partial 16S ribosomal RNA
Rfam family: Bacterial small subunit ribosomal RNA
Source: RNAcentral